Molecule: ribosomal RNA, 253 nt
Filed under: uncultured bacterium
Lineage: Bacteria
Description: partial 16S ribosomal RNA
Rfam family: Bacterial small subunit ribosomal RNA
Source: RNAcentral
UACGAAGGGGGCUAGCGUUGCUCGGAAUCACUGGGCGUAAAGCGCACGUAGGCGGAUUGCUAAGUCAGGGGUGAAAUCCUGGAGCUCAACUCCAGAACUGCCCUUGAUACUGGCGGUCUCGAGUCCGGGAGAGGUGAGUGGAAUUCCUAGUGUAGAGGUGAAAUUCGUAGAUAUUAGGAAGAACACCAGUGGCGAAGGCGGCUCACUGGCCCGGUACUGACGCUGAGGCGCGAAAGCGUGGGGAGCAAACAGG